UACGUAGGUGGCAAGCGUUGUCCGGAUUUACUGGGCGUAAAGAGCGCGCAGGCGGUCGGAUAAGUCGAAUGUGAAAUCCCUCGGCUCAACUGAGGAACUGCCUUUGAAACUGUCUGGCUUGAGGCCGGGAGAGGGUAGCGGAAUUCCCAGUGUAGCGGUGAAAUGCGUAGAUAUUGGGAGGAACACCAGUGGCGAAGGCGGCUACCUGGACCGGUUCUGACGCUGAGGCGCGAAAGCGUGGGUAGCAAACAGG
Molecule: ribosomal RNA, 253 nt
Filed under: uncultured bacterium
Lineage: Bacteria
Description: partial 16S ribosomal RNA
Rfam family: Bacterial small subunit ribosomal RNA
Source: RNAcentral